This is a long non-coding RNA of Drosophila yakuba, 2473 nucleotides long. RefSeq lists it as uncharacterized. NCBI's taxonomy places the organism in Eukaryota, Metazoa, Arthropoda, Insecta, Diptera, Drosophilidae. The transcript has 4 exons. The record is from RefSeq and is a predicted model, not a curated record.
UUGUUAUGAUUUGCCCGCCAAAAAAUGGUCAAUUAAAAUUCAGAAUAAUUUCAUCUGUUGUAAAAUGACCUGCUAACUCACUGUUAUUAACAUGGACUAUCGACACGUCUGGUAGCACUUGUGUCAGACAGAGACAGCUAUAUUGUUAUACACAAUUUACCAUGUUGGUGUUGGUGUGAGCGAAAAAUGCGAUUUUUAGGACCAAAAAAUGAAACAAAUACACGAUUCCCGACUUAAAUUCGCUCGCCCCACAUCCAACACAAAAAACUCUUUAAAUAUGGCCGCGUCACACAAAUCCCAUUCGGAACUCACAUAUUUGUGGUUCAGGGCGAAACACACACGAUCCCGGAGGUGCGAACUUCAAAACCAAAACAAGUGCACACCAGUGGGUCUUUCGGGACCCGGAUCGAAUGAAAUCACUAGCUAUCUCUGGCGACGUUAUCAAUAAGGUUCUUCCAUGAGAUGAAUGAAUUGAUGAACUGAACUUCUGCCUCUAUCUGUCUUUCUCUGUGUGCGAGUGUGAGUGAGAUGAUAGGCGUGUUGCAAAUGGCGCUGCCAACGCGGUGUACAGAGAAAAAUCCCUAACGCAUGCCGGUCGGAAAUCAAUUUGUUUAUUUCUUAAGAUUUCUAGAAUUUCUUUAAAUACUUUAAGCUACUUAAGCUUAAGCUAAGAGUUUCCUUCCAAACUUACCCUUUCUUCAUUUAUAAAAGCGUUUUAAUUUUUAGGGCUCAUCGCAUCUAAUUCAUCGAUCUUAAGGACCUUCUUCAUUGCUCCUAACAAUUGAUUUCUUCUUAUAACAAAUCAAACACACCACAAUUUUUUUACUCACUUUAACAUUUUACAGCCGAAAUAUUUAAUAAAACUAAUAAAAAAACGAAAACAAAUUUUAAUUCGAGGACAUAGCAGUGGAACUGCCAACUCGUUUUUUAAACUGACAUUUCGAACUAAAACCCACCUGUUGAUCCUGGUGUUAUUUUCGGAUUCAGAAAACUUAAGGCUAAUUUUAAUAAUUUUUAGGCGGGUGGAGGCACAUUUGUGUUGGCCACCUCGUACAUCUGGCGCUGCUUGUUUCGCCUGUUGUGGGCGCUUACUAGAAUGUAUAUGCCUAGGAUAAUAGCGAGGGCCAAAAGCAGGCAAGUGACCACAAACCAGCAGUAGAAUCCUGGACCAUCCUCAUCGAACUCGUCUUCCUGUGCGUUCUCCCACUCGGUGUAGUUACCCGAUGGAUCCUCCUUUAUCUGGCCAACCUUCUGCUCUCGGAAAAGCGAGGCCUUGGCCAGAUUGCUUGAUUCCGGAUCCAUGAAAACUGGCUCCGUGUUGUCUAUUCGGAUGAAGGCUUUUUCUGCAACAUCCAGGCCACCCAUUCCAUUCGAAUCCAGUUCGAGGACAGAGGAACGGUGCUCGAAGAGCAGGGGCAGCCUGGAGAGCUUCUUUUGCCUAUACACACUGGACAUAUUCACCAGGAUCUUCUCCACAAAGGCGUAGUUCAGGCUACCGUAAAUGGGCUUUCGUUCGCCGCUGGGAUUACGGAGCACACUGUUGCCCAGGUGCAUCUUGUAGCUGUUAGUGACAUUUCGCCAUGGCAGAACGCCUAUCGAGUCAUCUUCCCGAGAAACUUACAAAGUUAUCGCCGAAAAUCAUGACUACGCAGGUGAACAGGUUGUCGGACACCGCAUUGACAAGAUCCGUGUGCCGGAAGUGACAGAGCUCAGUCUUCUCGCGCUCCACGUUUGUGGCCUUGGCAAUAUAGGUCAGCCGCUCCUUCGGAUUCAGCUCGGCCGCAUAGUUCUGGAGCACGGUGUGGUAGGGCACCCAGGCCAGAACCGAAUCACCUCCGUUGGCGCACACCUCCGCCUGAGCACCCCUUCCAGUUAGUUCUCCGUUGCGAAGCCUGAGAAAGUGGUGGUUAUCCCGCUUGAUUGUUGUGGAGCCGUGAUCCGCGCAUAGGGUGUCCACGAGGCUUGCCUGGGAAAUAGAGAGAUAAAAGUUAGACGGAAACAAACACCUACAUCGUUCGUAAAUAACCCUCGUCUUCAGCUUAUCUCCGGUCCGCCGGCAUUAUCUUCUUUAGCUGCGAUGGACACUUUGUCACUUUAUCGUCAAGCUAAUUCAAUUUGGAAUAUCAGGCACUCGAAGGUGGCACACGAAUAAUUUACGGCUGGCAUUGGAUUUGUCACUUAAGGAUGUCGAUGGGGCAAACUAGUUUGGCGACACAACAUUUGCCAUUAAAGGCAAGGAGUUUUUAAACGGAGGCCAUUUCUAACAAAUAUGGAAUCGUGCAAUCUGCUUUAGUCGCCAAGUAAUUGGAUGAACUGCGACACUCUUAUUCCAAAAGCAGAUCCAUAACAAAUUGCAUUUGUGCUAGUUCAAUAGAACUGAUAUUUGUAAUUCUUUAUUGUUUACGUUUGGAAUUGACCGUUUCUAAAAUGCAGCUAUCAAUACUAAACUAUAGUAAAUGUAAAUCCAAAUGCA